Balaenoptera musculus (blue whale) is the source of this 315-nucleotide long non-coding RNA. RefSeq lists it as uncharacterized. The transcript is spliced from 3 exons. The record is from RefSeq and is a predicted model, not a curated record. NCBI's taxonomy places the organism in Eukaryota, Metazoa, Chordata, Mammalia, Artiodactyla, Balaenopteridae.
CACUGACCUGGCCCAGGACACUGCUUCCGGACAGGGAAGGGUGACAGGCCAGCCGGGCCCCAGAGGAGAGACAGCAGCCCAACCGGGAGCCUGGAGGGAGCACAGAACAAUGGCAGCCCGAAGAAAAGGCCAGUACAACCUGUGGAAGCCCUCUCUGGACAGCAUCUCUAGGUAGAUUCAGAAGGAGGUGGGGGAAGCAUCCCUCACCAAUCACGCACUUACUGAACAUGGACCAGGCUGGAAAGCAUGAACACCUUGGUGGGCAACUUCCAAUUAUAUGCAUUCAUAGAUGGGAAGCAUGCUUCAGACAAUACA